GUACAAUUAAAAAAAAAAAAAAAAGGAAAUGGCAUUCUGAAGGUGACUAAGGAGAAAGUCAAAUCAUUGAUAUUGUUUUAGGUCAAUAAGACAGUUUUCUGAUGUGUCUUAUUGACCUAAAACAAUAUCAAAACACAUCACAGAUGCACAAUGUUUAAUGGGUUCAUUCUGAAAGGACACCUCAAAUCUGUUAUGAAAUUGUGAAGUACCCAGACUUCUUCAGCUUACUUUAAAAAAAAAAUUUGGGCUUUGUAUCUCUUUCUACUGAGUUGUAUGUAUGUUCAAAAUCUUGCCAAAGAGCAAGAUUUUGUAGAACAACAAGAGUAAAUGAAAACUUCCUGACAUGGUGAUUUAUUUCUUUUUUUAUCUUUAUUGAAGUAUGAUUUACAUAAAAUAAGUUUCACUUUGAAGUAUAGGGUUUAAUGAAUUUUGGUAAUUGUAUAUAGCUAUUAUAACCUUUACCAUAUAAAGAUAUAGAUAAAUUCUAUUACUCCAGAAAGUAGUCUUUGUGUCCCUUUGCAUUUUAUCUUUCCUCCUGACCUCUGGCUCCAGGUAAUCAUUGAUUUUACUUUCUGUCAAUGUAGUUUCACCUUUUCCAGGUUGUCAUACACAUGGAAUCAUACAAUAUGAUAAUCGUUUCAGUCUGGAUUGUUUUGCUUAAUAUAGAGGGCUUUUGAGAUCUAUCUGUAUUGUUUUUUUUUCUUAUUGAUAAGUAGUAUUUCAUAUCAUAGAUAUACUCUGAUUUGUUUACCCACUCACCAGUUGAUGGGCAUCUGGGUUAUUUCCAGUAUUUGGCGAUCAUCAAUAAUGCUGCUAUGAGUAGUCAUGUAAAUUUAUUUGUGUGGAAAUAGGUUUUCAUUUAUCUUGGGUAAAUAUCUAGAAGUGUGUUUGCUGGGUCUGCCAUACUGUUUUCCAAAGUGGCUAUACUGUGUUGCACUCCCCAGCAGUAUAUUAGAGUCUGGUUGUUCUUAUCCUUGGCAACACUUGAUAUAGUCAGUCUUUUUAACUUUAGCUAUUCUAGUAGAUGUUUAGUGGUCAUUCUUGUUGUAGUUCUAAUGUGCCUUUUCUUGAUGAGUAAUGAUGUUGAGCAUCUUUCUUAGGCCUGUUGUAUAUUUGCAUAUCUUCUGUCAUAGCCUGUGCAAAUCUUUAGCUUACUUUAAAAAAAAAUUUGGGCUUUGUAUCCUCUUUCUACCAAGUUGUAUGUAUGUUCAAAAAUAUUCUGGAUUCAAGCCCUUUGUCAAAUAUAUGGUUUACAAAUAUUUUCUGAGUCUGUGGCUUGCAUUUUUAUUUUAUUUUAAAUUAUGGGGUUUUAUGAUGCAUAGAAGGCUCAUUCCUUCGUGGCUACUUUCUACAUGGCAGCUUGAACUAUGUAUGCUUAGUUGGGUGGCAGUGGUGGCUGUACCCUGGCUUGCUCAUGUUGUUGGUCACCCUGAAGUCCUUGUUAAGGCCCUCAGCCUUGGAGGUGAGCAGCCCUGGCUGCUGCUAUCCAAUGGCUUCAUUUCCUUAAUUGUGUCUUUGGACAGCAAAAAUGUUAAAUUUUUAUUAACUUCAUUUUACCUAUUUUUUUCCUUGGUUGUGCUAAUUGUGUCAUGCUUAAGAAAUUUUUUGCUUAAUCCAAUGUCGUAGAGAUUUUUUUUUUAGAAGUUUAAUAGUUUUUUACAUUUAGGUCUACCAUUUCAUUUCUAAUUAAUUUUGAAUCUGACAUAGAAAUUUAAACCCUGCUUCCACAAAAGUCCUCUCUUUUUGCUGAUGUACCACAUAGCUCAUCACAUAACUCUGUCAGGUUAACCAUGGCCAUGUAGAAACUAGAAUAAAAGAGUGUGUGGGUGUGAGACUCAGGCAAACGUUUUAAAGCUGGUAGCUGUUCAGUUCCCAAGUUCUAUAACAAAUGGUAUUGUUUAAAUUGGGCUUGUGAGUUUUUGUGUGUGUUGGAUGUGCAGAAAGAAUGCGAGGGAAAUAACUUAUGGUAGAUAUGGACUUCAGGUAAUUUUUUAAAGUCAUUAAACUCUUGGCAGAUAUAUUUGAAGCUAAGUUAACUGGAUAGAAUAAGGAAUGACUGUAGUGCCCAUUUAUGCCUCCAAGUUUUGUUGAAUCUUAAAUAUUAGACCAAACGAUAUCGUUUUGCUUGGUUUUUACUUCUCUGCCCAUUUCCAGGAAGCACAAACUCUUUAUUUGAAGAGGACAAGCUAUUUUCUUAUUUCUGCAAAUCUAUUUGAAAAAGGGAAGAACCAAUGGGAGAAAAUUUCAGUCUGAUGUUCUUUUUCCUAGCAUACCUUUUGCCUGUUACCACUCCCACAUCCCCUGUUUCUAAGAUAGUCUGAAAUUUCAAAAUGCCUACAAAAAGUUCUCUGUCUUUAGGUUGUUUGGAAUUGUUAAUUAUUGGUGGCAAUGGAUGAGUGUUCAGCACCUUGGAACUUUUGCAAAAGAAACUUAAUAAGGAUACGUUUGCUGUAGUUGGAAAAGUAUUUGAUGAACAGCUGACCUUUCAAAUGUUUGCAUGAGUUCAAUCUCUGAACUGCUAAUGUUAGGAAGGUCCAAGUUCCAAUUCAGACUCAGACACUGAAUCCCUUUGUAGAGAAAUCUUUGAAAUCUCUUCAGCUGCAGUUUAUUCUCUCUCUUUUUUUAAGGCUAACUUCACCUACCAAUUAAUUGGUUAAUGUUUGUAAAUGUUUUGAAAAGGUGAAAAGCACUUUCUCAGGGAAGUGCCCUAUUGUUCCCUCUCCCGAUUGUGGUUUGCCAUUCACCUGAGUAAGUGGAUAAGCCAUGGGCCAAGUUUGCAUUGUAGAAAGGAAAUGAUUCUACAUAUACUUAGCCACGGGAUGGAAAAAAUAUGUUUCUUUCACAUAGACUUUCUGAAUAAAGCUUCCACUGUUCUGAGCAAAAAAAUGCAAAAAGGAGCCUUGUUGUCUGGAUUAGGUCACUUAUAAAUACCUUUAAAAAUAUUUACAUAAAUGUCUACUGACUAACCAAUUCUCUGAGCACAUUCCAUAAAAAUUUCUUCUCCAUUGCUUUUAGAAAUUUGCUUUUUUUGGUCCAUUGUGUCGUACGUGAAGCCUCUUGUUCAUGGUGCACAGUUGACUUAAAGAAGCCAAUCUAUCUAAAAGAACUGGGAAGGCGGGCUGGGGAUAUUAACAAGAGCCUCCUUCCUAAUUGUGGCUUUUUCCCCUGAGGUCCUGUUGCAGCACACAUUUUUUUUUCUUUCCUAGCAUCAGUUACUUCAUUGCUUAAGUGACUCUUUUAGAUAAGUUCGUGUGUCUCUCAUGGGCUGCUCCAAUCAGCAAGGCAGUCUCACCCCAACUAGUGUCACAAUACUCCCUUUGUGGUUCUGGACAUUAUACAGAGAGCAGCAAGCCACGGUAUUUCUGUAUCUUCGCUGGAAAAUGGCAUUUUAAAAUUGCUCUAAAUGCAUGCAUCCUUUUGUGCUUGCAGUUGGAGUAUAAUGGGAAUUAUCAGAGAAUCACAUGUCUUUGCCAUAGACUUCAUCUGGUUCCCAUGAAGCAUCCAGGUUUCCUACUGCAGUGUUUAUCUCUUUCCUACUGAGGGCAGUCCUGAGGAACUGGGGCGAGUGAAUCAAACGGCCUUGGAAUCCUACAAGAGAUUGUAGGAUUGGUUCUCACCUUCUGCUGCUGGGUAUGAGCCAAGAAAUGGGCAUGUGACCUAAGCUUGGAAAGUUGAAUUUUCCUGGUUAAUUGAAUCUUGAGUGGAAUGGUGCGAAGUCAGAAGCAACAGUUGGAGCUUAUGCAUUCCAGGAAUAUUGCCCUGAUGGCUAAGCAAAGCCUGGCCUUGCUCCUUUCCUGUUCCCAAAUCUGGUUUCCUAUAUCCCCUGUCAAUUUCAUGAGAUUCACCAAUAUUCUGUGGGUUUUUUUUUCUUUAGUUUUCCUUUUGGUAGAGUGGUUCUCUGUUGCAUAUAAUCAAAGAGCUCUAACUUACAUGUUCAGGCUCUGACCCUGUCUCCUUGCUACCAGCCUUGUCCCCUCCCCACCAUCUCUUGCCUGGAAUAUCAUAAUAGCCUCCUCAAUGAUCAAAGUAUAUAUAUAUAUAUAUAUAUAUAUAUAUAUAUAUAUAUAUAUAUGAAACCUUUGUGACCUUGUCUCUUUCUCCCUCCUUGCUAUACUGAUCUUCUUGCUGGUCCUCUCCUGCCAGGCAUAAUCCUGCCCUAAGCCAUUUUCACUGGCUCUUCCUUCUGCCUCAAUUACUUUUUCUCCGGAUAGCCACUUUGGCUUACUCCUUCACCUCCACCUUCACAUCAAAGGUAACAUUCUCGUGUUGAAAUAUCACAUACUUGGUGAGGCCUUCCCUGACCACCCUGUUUAAAAAGCCAAGACUCUCCUGCUAUAGGCAUUAUUUACCCAUUUCCAAGCUUAUUUUAAAUUUUAUUUUAUAAAAUUUUAUCACCAUCUAAAAUACCAUAUUAUUUUUCUUAUGGAUUUUUUAAAGAUUGCCUGUUUAUGCCUACCAGUAUGUAAGCUUCAAAAGGGCAUUAGUGUUCACCGCUGUUAAUCCCAGCAUAUAGAAUAGUGCUUGGCACAUUAAUUUGUUGAAUAAAUGAUAUGGCUUUGGGGGAGCACUUUUGUUUUAUUUGACUUAUAUUGUUAAGAUCAAGCAUAGUGCAUGGCACAGCAUAGGCACAUAAUAAAUUUUGUUUUUAUUGUUGUCCCUGACUGCUAGGACUAUUAAAGAGGACAGUCUUCAGGAUCUAUUCCUGUCAGUUUCAGUCUGGUUGAUAAGUGGUUUGUAAUAAUCAUAGGGGCUAACUCCACCCAGUAUUUGAGCUUGCAUUUAUUUUGAUGGGAAAAAAAAAGCAACCUGGUCAGGAUAGAACUUGCUUAAAGAAAGGCUCAGAUUAGUUUCAGUGAGUUUACACAGUCAGCGUUUUGGCGGUGAGGCUCUGAAGUUGAAUCAAGCCAAGAAAUACAAUUGAUCAUCCUAGUCUGCAAAUUUCAUUUGCAAGUUCAAUUGAAGUGUAAGUGUAAUGGGAUCAUGUUAUUAGUUCUCUUAGAGGCAAAGAUUUCCAGGAUAGGAAAAUCUGUGUGUGCUUGCUGGGUCAGUGAGAAAUGGGCUGGCAAUGCAGUGUUCCUGGGGGCACUCCUCCCGGGACGGAAAGACAUAGGAAGGGACUAUUACUAAGCAAGGUGUUUUGAUCCCUCUCCCCUUUUCUCUACCUUCCCCCUGCCCACCCAUCCUUCUGAUUGAAACAAACAAUUGUGGUAUUGUGACAAAAAGAGAAGUAUAAUUUUAAUCCAAAUUUAGUUCAUUCUUUCAGUCAGAAUAUUUCUUUUCUUCCUUCUACAAUUAAACAUUCUAAUUUUCUUUUUCCACUGCAAAAUUGUGUCUUUUAGGUUGGCAGGGCUUCAAGUGGUAUUAAUUGUAAUUUCUAAUUAUUUAAACUAUUUUAGUGAUUAGUGAAAACUACUUCUAUAAUUAUAGGAUAGUGUUGAACAAUGGAGUUCUUUCAGAAUCCCUUUGGUCACUUUCAAUUUAGUUAGAAAAAAAAAAAAAAACCGCAAAGGCAAAAAUAUAAGUUUUGAGAAACUACCCUUUUUAGUUUCAAACACUCAUUUAUGUUCUUCUUAUCAGAAGUAGACUAAAAAUUUUUCUGUGCACUUGAGAGAAUAGUUCUUGUGUUCAAUUUCUUCAUAAUGCAAAGAGAACUUUUCCCUUCUAAGCAAUUUUUGAAAUGCUGAGAUACUUUUUUCCCUUUAUAACUCAGCUCUGGAACCAAAAGUUUCUUCCUUGGAUUUGUGAAUUCCCAACCCCCAAGAGUAUAGUCCAAGUUUAUUUUGAGCCUUUUUUUUUCUUUUCAAUGAAAGUAGUAAAUGGCACUGGCAAUAUUUGAGUUGGAUAAAUUCCAGUUAAGGUAAAGUCCAACUUGUUUGAGACCGGCUAUUCAAAUCAAAACCACCUAGUGCGGGAGGUGGUUCUGUUGCGUCCAUGUGUCCGAGGGAACAAGAGAAGAGCUCUUUUAAUGGGGGUAGAGAGCUGACUCUCAAACUUCCUGUGCACAUAUCUAUUAAAGAAAUAAGAUAAUUCUCUAAGAACUCUAAGCAAGAGUUUACUGUUUGGUUUGGGAUUUGUUUUUUGUUUUAUUCAAGCUCACAUAUUUAUGGGAGUCAAAUAUGUUAUGUGGAUGUUUAAUGGAUAUUCAGAUGGCAGCAUCAGUGUCCUGUUUUUAUUUUAUGUCUGUUUUAUGAGGUCAAAUAAAGUAACUGUCCAGCUCAUACGAUGUGAUCCUUUUCAUUAUUUAUCAGAUAAUAUGCAUUUAUAGUCAGUGGAACAACAGUAAGCUCCAGAUAGUGAGUACCAUUCUUACUAAUUUUUCUAUCCUGAGACCACAGGAACUAUGUCUCCAAUGUUCAGGAUGUAGCAGGCACUCUAUACAUGCUUAAUGUGAAUUAACUGAAUUAAUGGGAUGGUUGUUGUUUUAUUGUGAUUUAGUUUUUCAACUUAUAGAAAUGCAUCAAUGAUCUCUUUGAUAUGUUGUAUUCUCAGUAUGCCUUUGAGAGUUUAUUAGGAUACACAUAUUAGGCUUAUAAUAAUAGUUCUUUGAAUUUGAAUGACUUUAUGAGAAACAUUCAUAUCGAUUAUUUUAUCAUGUUUUCACCACAUCACUGUGAAAUUAGGAGGCAUGGAGACCAAAAGUUUAAGUGACGGUUUUUCAUCAUUAUUUACUCUGACACCUAGGCCAGUUCUCCAUUUUUUACUAACCAUGUGGUGGGCAUAAUGAACACAUUGAUUGCCUAAAAAGAAUUGUCUUCCUAAAGGCUUGUUGAUUGACAGGGUUAAAACACAAUCAUGAUGUGGAACUCAGAAAUAAAGCUCCUAAAACCUUUACAUUAUUGGCAUGUGUUUUAAGGCUUUAAUUGAAGUAGCUGUUUUCAAAAUUCAAGUUCAGCUUGAUGGAAAAAUCAACUCAGGGCUAUCUAUGGAGGAUUGUUUACUUGAUAGGUUAGCACAACACUUGCUGGUUCAUUCCAAGUCUGGCUUUUUACUGGGUACACCUGAAGGUAUGUACCCACAUUGCAAAAGAGUUUUAACAGCAAAUUCAACAAGAUGGAAAUGCCUUCUCAAUUAUUAUACUAAUACACCUAUUGUUCAACUCCCAAAGUGGGAGCAUUGAGAGCUGAUUUGAAAUGAAAACCUUUACAGUAAAACACUUAUUUAAGGUCUGAAAACAUAUUAGAAAGAAAUAGCCUAUCCUUCCUUAAAAUUGCUUAGAAUUUUUUUUCCCUUUGCUUUGCCUAUCUUAUGGUCUUUCUCAUUCUCUUAGCACCACAAGGCCUGGGGUUCUAUUCAGUUACCUCUUCUUUCCAUACACAGUUUCUGCAGUUGGUUCUGUCAAAAAGAUGAUCAAUAUUUCAUUGACUGAUGUUUCAGAUUUUAGAUCUGGAAAAGUCCUGUUUUUUUUUUCACCAAAAUUUAAUCAUCCCAAUCAUUAAGGUUAUCUUAUGUUUGCUCAGAUCAAGCUUUCAUUUCCUAAAUUUUAUUGCAGAGAUUGAACCUGGAUUUUUGUUUGUUUGUUUUAUUUUAUCUUCUUUCAGUGAUGGGGUCUGGCUAUGUUGCCCAGGCUGGAGCACAGUGGCUAUUUAUAGGUGAGAUCAUGGUGCACUGCAGCCCCAAACUCCUGGGCUCAAGGAAUCCUCCCGCUUCAGCCUCCUGAGUAGCUGAGACUGCAGGUCCAUGCCAACAUGCCCAGCUCUAAGACAGGAUUUAUUAAUGCCUCCGGAAACUUUCAUUAAGACAGUUGAAUUCUAUUACACUUAUUUUUCUCUAACUGAUCUCAUCUAAAAGUUUCAAACAUUUUUAUUCUUCCUUUUUACAACUCUCGGAUUUUAAAAAUCUUGAAAUACAUCCAACUAUAUGAUUGACUCAGAUUUAAUUAUAAUUCAUUAUAACUUCCAAUUUUUUUUUCAUCUUAAUAUAUGGACAGGGACCUUACUCUGUUCCAUUUUUUUUGUUAAUUCCUAUCCUUUAGGAUGUGCCUGUUUUAUUCAUAGGAUAAGCUUCAUACAUUGUUAUUUACUUAAUGAGUAAAUUGAUAGUAGUCUAUACCUGUAUUUCUUAAUAGUGACAACAACACUGUAAACAUUGUUCUCAUAUAAAUGCUAGAUAAGUAAGAGUGGUAACAAAACAAUGAAUUUUUUUAACAGAACUGAGGGUUAUUGCAACCAUUAAUGCAUAAUAAUGUGUGUUGAAGAUAAUGGUAAAUUUAUCUCAAUAUCUUUUUAUGUCCACCUUGUUCACCCUGUCUUUUGAUAUUUGAAUAGGACAGCAACAGACUUUAAUGGCUAAUCUUAGAUGGUUAUCUUCUUUUAUCCCUUGAUUAAAGUUUUAAGAGUACCCCCAUUCUUAGAACAAAAUAUUAUCACUUGGUUGGGGCAAAGAUAGCUUAAAUCACGAGAACAACUUAUGCAUAUCAUAACUGCCCAUACCUUACCAAAUGAGACUCUGAUUCUAUAUAUAUUAUUGUAAGCCUGUUAGCCUUUGAGAGCAAAGCAGUCACAGGGUGUAUUUUUUAAGUUGGUGAUAGGUUUUUGCUUAACAAAUGUUAAGCAAAUUGUGUCUAAAGUCCCCGUAAAUUUAAAGAGUGAACGUUGGGUUGCUAGCCCAGUGAUUAAGAACUCCAUAAAUGUCAUAUUUCAUGGGUAGAUAUGAAUAACUGAAACUUCUUAUCUACAGUGACCUCAAGAAUUUUUCUCAGUGAUGGAGCAGGCAUCUAAAGGUUAGCUCUUUAAAGUUCAAAGGUAACUCAGACAGUGAGACAUUGGAUCAGAUGUGUGAGUGGAUUUUUCAUCUAAUGUGCAGCAAUGUGAAAGGGCUUUGGAGUUUGCCUGCCUGACUUUGAAUCCUGGCUCUUGUAUUUGCAAGCCCUGUGGAAACGCUAGUAAAUGAUUUAACAUUUUUGUGUUUGUUUUCCUAUUUGCAUAAAGGGUGUAAUUAUAGUACUAUACUCAUAAGGUUUUUGUAAACUUGAAAUGAUACACUCAGCUUAAAGUGCUCAGCAGUCAGUAACAGUCAGAUAUUAUUAUUCCUCCCUCUCUAUGAGGUAUUUCUAGAUCUUUUUGUAGCCAUCUGCUCAACUUUUCCAGGACACACCUGACCCAGGGACUACUUCAAUCUGCUCCCACAGACUUCCUCUCUCUUCCCUUUUUUCCUUUCCAAACCGACAGGGGUGUGGAAUGCAAUCUUUCUAAUUUGUUGUCCCUUUCAUUUUCAGAGUUUUAACAUUGUUUACUAAGAGAAAACAGAGUUUAACAAGCGUGAGGUGUUAAAAUUUAAAUUCUACAGAGUCCCUACAGUUAUGAUCUCUGGUAUGAUUCUUGCUUUCUUUGCAGAAAAGUUCUUCAUUCAUUCAAAAAGUACCCGCUUUCUCCUUUCUCCAUGAAGACCCUCUUUUAGAAGAAUCAGUACAGAGUGUGUGUGCUUGUUUGAUGGGGUAACAAUUACAGAUUUCUGCUCCAUACAGGAAACUUUCCUUUGGGAAUUCUUUUACAAACUCAGCACAAAGUAUGUUAUAUUAAUGAUUUCUCAGAUUCAAAAAGUGCUUGUGGUUGCUCAGUAUGGGACUUCUGAAAAAAAUGUGUAGCUGCAAUUUGUGGGGAAACUAUAUUGAGAAAUAGGUUGUGAAAUUUAUCUUUUAUAAGGGUAUUGUUGAUGUUUUUGUUCCAUUUGUUGUCCUCUUUUGAAAAACUCUUAGGAAAAAUUCCUGUCUUGCUUUAGUAUCCGUUGAUUAUUAAUUUAUUUUCCUAAGUCAUUGUUCCAUCUUAGGAUUCAUACUAUAUAUAAGUGAUUAAGCCCAUCUUCUCUGAUAUUUUUGCCUUUUUUUAAACCUCAUCUUUUUUUCCCCUUUUUAGUAUUUACAUUUUAAUGUAGUGACUUUAUAUUUUAAAUAUCUUUGUAAGCUACCUUAAAUAUUUCCUAAAACCAAGGUAGUUGUUGUAUUUGUAAGUCUUCAAACUAUGGCAUUCUAAAAUCCAUAAUUUCUUCACAAUAGUUAUAAUUAUUUGUUUAUCUCUGUGUACCAUGAACUGUACAAAAACACUUUAUAAAUUAUCUUCUUGAAUCUUCAUAAUAGCACUAUGCAGAAGAUAUUAUUUCCCUUUUUAGGUGAGGAAACUAAGGUAUAAAGAGAUUAAGAUCAUAAAAUGAGUGUAUUAGAAAGUCACAUUUUGAAUUCAGUGGGACCCAGAACUUGGGCUCCAUCCUCUACCAUUUCUAAUUACUUGAAAAAGGAUAAAGUAAAUAGGACCUCUGUGUUUUGAAGGCUUAUUGACUUAUGACUUUUGUAUGUUAGGGGCAUAAGUAUGCUGGCAAUCCAAAUCUUUGUUGGCAAUGGUAUUUGAACAGCUCAAUGUCCAAGGACUUUAAAAAAUGUUGGAAUAACUUAGCAUUAUUGUUAAAAGUCAAAUUACAGAUUAAAAAGAGCAUAAUAGGCACCUUUGUUUGCAAUCAUCUCUAAGAUAAUUUUACCUGAAUUUAUUUAAAAUGUGUAGAGUGGCCAGGAAAGACUAUUAGAUGCAUCAUUACAUAUUACAAUUUUUGUGAAAUUGUGAAAUUCAAUCAUUGGUUGUGUGAAGAAAGAUACUCUUAGGGAUCAACUUUCACUGUUAUUGUUGUUUGCUUUAUUUUAUUUCAUUUUAAAAAUCUACCUGACAGUUCAGACAGGUGUUGUUCAUUUUAAAAAUGAAUUGUAAAUUCAUCUGAAAAUGAGCUAAUAUCCUUGAAUGUUUCUAUUUGCUGUGUCUAAAAGCCAGAGUGCUUCAUCCCAGCCACACCUCCUAGCUAUACUGAUGAAUUGUGAAGGAGAGAGGAGGGAAGAGCAGCCUGUUUUCUUCUGCCCUUGACUGAGAAGUCCAAAUAUAUUUUCUUUAGAGUGUGCUUUAUUGUCUUUCUACAGAAUAUUAACUUAUAAGUGAAAAAAAAUUUUCUUUUCUUUUUAUUCCCAAUUUCCUUAAAAAUCUCCUUCCAAGCAUUUAAAAGCUUUUUUGGCUUCAUGUGCCUCCAGUGUUAACACUGGCAAUUGGUGCAACUUACAAUAGUGCAUUAAAUAUAAACCUAAUUUUUACAUCACUUGCUUAAAGCAAUUUGUGGUAAGCCCUGUUGGUAAUGAUAUGAAUUAUAUGGCAUUAUGAAUUAUAAUUCAUAUGUGAUAUGAAUUAUAUGGUAUUAUGAAUUAUUGCCUGUGGGGCUCAUGCAAUGGAACUAUAUAGAUGUAGGCAUUUACAUGUUAACUUCAGUAUUAAUGAGUCUGUACAGAUUAAUUUUUGUUGUGUCUUUGUCAGCUUUGAAUAAGGCCAUGAUGAGUUUCUGUGUCCUUGAGUUAGGUAAUUUCCUGUCUGGGAAAGAGACACUAAGUAAUUAAAAGAAAUGAUUUUAAGUACUUUUUGGAAUUUCAAAUUAACUUCUGACAUAAACCUUUCUCAUCUGGAUAACUUCUCUGUCUUGAGAUUUUUAGUGGCAUGCCCUGUUCCCUUCAUGUAGUUAGAACAUUGUAGGGUAUUUGAGCAUUUAGCAGGUUGUAUCAAGUGUUUUGAAGCCUCCUGAGGAGUACACGGAAGCAUUAUUUUCUAAACUUUUCUGGCCUGUCUCUUUUUGUGAACGGGGGCAUUUGUUUUGGUUUGAACUGCCCUGUGUUUGAUUUUAGUCUGAUGGAUGUUUCCUUGGCCCUGAACUCUGCACAGUUAUGUUUUGCUUAGAGCACUCACCUUCAGUGAGUCUAACUUUCCUCUUUGCUGCCUUAGUUCUCUAGAGACCUUUUGGCUUUGUGUUUAUUUUUUAUUGUUGUUCUAAGGUCUGUGCCUUUACCAAAUUAGAUUUACCCCUCAAUUUAACCUUGCUUUUUAAAAUAGAAGGUGAAAGCAACACUAUCCUCUAACCUUUCUCAGCUUCAGCUGAGGUUCACAUGAGAGAAGCAAGCACUACUGAAAAUGACUUCAGUGGUUGUUUUCUUGUACCCUGAGAGUGGUACAUAGGUAGUACCCUUCUGGACGCAUAGAAGAGAAUUAAUUCACUCCAUUAACUGAUGCCUUUAGACAUUAGAGCUUAACUAUCUUAUACAACCCCAGUUUAGAAGGACAGUAAAACUUGGUUAAAAUGGAUCCCCGCAAAAACCGGUGGGAUGAACGUUGCUCCCUCAGUGCCUGCAUUGCACAAGGUCAUGUAUAGGACACCCUAAGAUGGAUUAUUUCAUUUAACAUGAGGCUUCUCUUGAAAAGCUGUGAAAAUAGGGCCACUGAUAGAGCUUCAAUUUGAAUUUUCAUUGUCUUUUAAAAGCCUUACAGGAGACCCAGGCUAAGUCAAGUAUGUUGGUUUCUCUUGCAGCUGGAAUAAUAAAUCAAAGACCUUGAGACCCUUGACUACCUGAUGAUAGGGACCAUGUCCGUUUUGCACUCUUCUCUAUCCUUAGCGAAUAGAAUUUCUGGCCUAUUACAGGUGUAUGAUAAAUAUUUUUGUUAAAAGUCAGAUGUAAUCUAGACCAGAUAUACUGUGCAUGUUUAUUCUUAAUAUCCUCCAAGAUAGUUUUAUAUGCUUUCAUUUAAAAUGUCUACAGAUUAUAAAUAGAAUGUGAAUCUGGUUAUGGUCUUGCCGAGCCCCCAGAUCUUUAUUAACGUGGGUGAAUAAAAAUUCAGAGAAGGCUAGGCUUGAGUGGAUUUGUUUGAUGAACCUGGUGGGUGAGAGAGGCAAGCUUCAACAAGAGAGUGUUUUACUCUGGAAGUCUGUCACAAGAAGCUGGGAUUCUCUGCUCCUGGGUGUCUGGCUAAUGCUGCACCAGGUGAAUGAAGAAGGAAUUACAAUAGGACAUGCUUCCCAUCAGGAACUGUCAUGAAUCUCUGCUUUAUUGGGAAGAAAUUGUUCAGUAAUAUGAAGAAAUUGUUCACUUUUGGCAUAAGAAUUACUGCUUUAUUGGGAAGAAAUUGUUCAAUAAUUUGAAGAAAUUGUUCACUUUUGACAUAAGAGUAAUCAUCAGUGACACAGUAAUGCAUGAAAUAAAGUACUCACUACUAUUUCCUGAUCCAUUUAAAAAUAAUUUAGGCUUAAACUGACAUCAGAGAUAUUUUUCUAUAUUAUACAUAUUAAGAACAGUAUGAAUUUGGUGAAAAAGACUCUAAUAAAAACAUGAAAUUAUUUAUAAAAUGAAACAAGGCCUUGACAAAUAGAAAAAUUUAUAUGCUUUCAAAUACUAUGAAGCUAUUUCUAAAAAGUAUUAAUUAUAAUUAAUUAUAGUUAAUUAAUUAUAAUUAAUAAACUUGAUUACCUUUGCUUUUUUACCCAGGGGUGGUAUUUUGAGGCAUCCCUUAUAACUAAUUGUGCUUUGUUGAAAUCAGUCCACCAGCUUUGUGAGAUUACAUAUGAUUCUAUAUGAAUAAAUGCACCAGGUAAGAAGACACACACAUUUUUUAAAUUAAAAAAAGAAAAACAAAAUAGGUGAAAGGCUGAGAGGGAUGAAUGGAGGUUGGAGGUGAGGACACAGAAGGCAGAAACGUAAGACAAUGGUGAGAUCCUAAUCCCUUAGGAAAAAAUAAAUCUGGGAAUCAGUCUACUCCUCCCUAGGCUAUAGAUCUGAGAUCUCAAGGUUGUCUUACUUAGGUCUUAAGAGUUAGGAAACCUCCAGCUAAUGUUUGGGUAACAUCAGCCAACAUCUCAUGUUAUUCUCCUAAGAUUGUGCCAACUUCUCCCUUACUCCUUACCUAAACCACCACCAUACAUCCAAUUACUUAAGCUAAAACCUAGGAGUCAUUCUUGAUUUUGCUUUUCCCAUUACCUCCCAUAACCAACCUAUCAGCAAUUGUGUAGCCCUAUUUCCAAAAUAAACUUUGAAACUAUUUACUUGUCUCAUUCUCACUGCCACCCCUGGUCCCAGACCAUUUUCUUGGGUCUCAUUUUCUUCCUGGCUGACUGCAAGAUAAUUCUAUUUUCCCUUUAUACACUCUUGCUUUGUAUACUUCAUCCUUUCACAGCAGCGAUAUUUUAAAGCAGUAAGUAAAAUAAAUUAUUUGUUUAACAUCAUCCAGUGGGUUCCCAUCACUCUGAGGAUUGAAUGCAAACCUUUGUGGCAUGGGAGGAACCUGGCCUGGCCUGUUAUACCAGCUGAUCUCAACAGGCUCCCACUACACUGCUGGCCUUCUGGCCCCCACAGGGGCCAAGCUUUCUCCUGCUAUAGGACUUGUGUUCUUGCUAUUUCCUGGACAUGAUUGUCCUUCUCCUUCUCACUCCAUUUUCUCAUCUUUCCUUGUUAGCUCCCAUGUCCCUCCUUGUGGAGGUCUUCCCUUUAUAUUUUAUUCAAAGUUGUCCCCACUUAACCACACGCUUUCUUUAUUUCCUUCAUAGCACUCGUUAUGAUGUACAACUUAUUUAUAUACUAUUCUCCUUCCUGUCAGAGGCAGAAAAUGGCUCUUUCACUGCUCUAUUGCCUCUGCCUAGAACAAGACAUGGAAUGUAUAGUAAGCACUCCAUAAAUGUGGUUGAGUGAGAGACUUCUUUAUUUAGAUGUUCUCCUGUGCCUCUAGGAACCACUGGCCUACCACCUCUCUCUCCCUAUGGCUUAGAGAAAUCCACAGGCCUUGCGACUCCAUAUUUUGACUUUCACAUAGCCCUUUAUUGCUUCCACACCAGACUUCCUACAAAUUGACUCAUGCAAA
This is a long non-coding RNA of Sapajus apella (tufted capuchin), 14636 nucleotides long. RefSeq lists it as uncharacterized. The record is from RefSeq and is a predicted model, not a curated record. The transcript is spliced from 2 exons. Lineage: Eukaryota; Metazoa; Chordata; Mammalia; Primates; Cebidae.